GCCAAUAUAAAGCUCCAUUCAUACAAAAAUAAAAUAUUAUUACUAAUCAAUCAAAUCAUUUACCCAAAUCUUAGUAUAGGUGAUAGAAAAGAUUACUAGGACGCUAUAAUGUAAGUACCGCAAGGGAAAAAUGAAAGAUCAAUUAAAGCACAAAAAAGCAAAGACAAGUCCUUAUACCUUUUGCAUAAUGAUCUAGCUAGCAUAAUCGGACAAAAAGAAUUUCCGCCCGCCCUCCCGAAAUCAAGUGAGCUACUAUAAAACAGCCACAAGAGCUAACUCGUCUAUGUAGCAAAAUAGUGAGAAGAUUUUAUAGUAGAAGUGAAAAGCCUACCGAACUUGAAGAUAGCUGGUUGUCCAAAACACGAAUUUUAGUUCAACUUUAAAUUUAAUACAAAUAUCAGCAAAUACAACUUAAAUUUAAAAGCUAAUCAAAAGAGGGACAACUCUUUUGAUUAAGUAGACAAACUUCAUUAGAGGAUAAUGUAACCCCAAAACACAUUGUAGGCCUAAAAGCAGCCACCAAUUAAGAAAGCGUUAAAGCUCAAAUCUACAAAAUAUUUAAUCUUAAGAAUCUUACCAAAAUCCCUAACACCAAUAUUGGACAACUCUAUAGACUUAUAGAUGAUAUACUGCUAAAAUCAGUAACAAGAAAUCAAUUCUCCUUGCAUAAGCCUAACUUAGCAACGGAAUACCCACUAACAAUUAACAAACCAAUACAAAUAAACCACUCAAAUAUACUAAAUAUUACAACAAUUGUUAACCCAACACAGGAAUGCACAAACAAAGGAAAGAUUAAACAGAAUAAAAGGAACUCGGCAAACACUAACCCCGCCUGUUUACCAAAAACAUCACCUCUAGCAUACCAAAUAUUAGAGGCAACGCCUGCCCAGUGAGUUUGACUUAAACGGCCGCGGUAUCCUGACCGUGCAAAGGUAGCAUAAUCACUUGUCUCUUAAAUAGAGACUUGUAUGAAUGGCAUCACGAGGGUUUAACUGUCUCUUAUUCUUAAUCAGUGAAAUUGACCUUCCCGUGCAGAGGCGGGAAUAAUUAUACAAGACGAGAAGACCCUGUGGAGCUUAAGAUUCAUAGCCUACAUCCAAACAAAAUCUAACCCUACAAGGAACUAAAACUACAGAUAACUAGCCUAUGAUCUUUGGUUGGGGUGACCUCGGAGCAUAAAACAACCUCCGAAUGAUUUAACCAAGAUAAACCAAUCUAAGUGUACCAAACCAAUAAUUGACCCAAAAAUUGAUCAACGGACCAAGUUACCCCAGGGAUAACAGCGCAAUCCUAUUUAAGAGCCCAUAUCGACAAUUAGGGUUUACGACCUCGAUGUUGGAUCAGGACACCCAAAUGGUGCAACCGCUAUUAAUGGUUCGUUUGUUCAACGAUUAAAGUCCUACGUGAUCUGAGUUCAGACCGGAGAAAUCCAGGUCGGUUUCUAUCUGUAAAUUUAUUUCUCCCAGUACGAAAGGACAAGAGAAAUAAGGCCAACAUUACAUAUGAGCCUUAGAGCCAAGAUAUGAACCCAUCUAAAUAUCUUAACUCAAUAACUAUUACGCCCUAGAAAUAGAGCU
RNAcentral lists this ribosomal RNA (1577 nucleotides) under Dactylopsila trivirgata (striped possum). RNAcentral's name for it is "16S rRNA". It matches the Rfam family "Bacterial large subunit ribosomal RNA". Lineage: Eukaryota; Metazoa; Chordata; Mammalia; Diprotodontia; Petauridae. The record is from RNAcentral.